RNAcentral lists this transfer RNA (73 nucleotides) under Planctomycetaceae bacterium. RNAcentral's name for it is "tRNA-Met". It matches the Rfam family "tRNA". From Rfam's summary of the family: Transfer RNA (tRNA) molecules are approximately 80 nucleotides in length. Their secondary structure includes four short double-helical elements and three loops (D, anti-codon, and T loops). The record is from RNAcentral. RNAcentral also lists the same sequence under 2 other names. Lineage: Bacteria; Pseudomonadati; Planctomycetota; Planctomycetia; Planctomycetales; Planctomycetaceae.
GGCGGCGUAGCUCAGCGGUUAGAGCAGGGUCUUCAUAAGGCCAAGGUCGCUGGUUCAAUUCCAGCCGUCGCUA